CAUGGCGUCUUACCAAACCAUGGCAAACUCCGAAUACUUGGAAGCAAGAGCACGGGAGACAGAGCACCGGGUGCUAACGUCCGGACUCAAGAGGGAAACAACCCAGACCGCCGUUUAAGGUCCCAAAUAUUGACUAAGUGGAAAACGAAGUGUGAAGGCUAAGACAGUCAGGAAGUUGGCUUAGAAGCAGCCAUCCUUCAAAGAAAGCGUAAUAGCUCACUGAUCGAGUCCUCAUGCGCGGAAGAUGUAACGGGGCUAAGUCAAUAACCGAAAGCGCGGAUUUGUACGAAAGUACAAGUGGUAGGGGAGCGUUCUGUAAGCCUGCGAAGGUGGUUCGAGAGGACUGCUGGAGGUAUCAGAAGUGCGAAUGCUGACAUGAGUAACGUUAAAGCGGGUGAAAAGCCCGCUCGCCGUAAGCCCAAGGUUUCCUGCUCUACGUUCAUCGGAGCAGGGUGAGUCGGCCCCUAAGGCCAGGCUGAGAAGCGUAGUCGAUGGGAAGCAGAUUAAUAUUUCUGCACCAUGUGCAAGUGCGAUGGGGGGACGGAGUGCGAAAGAUCAUCCGGGUGUUGGAUGUCCCGGUUUGUGAGUGUAGAAGGCCGACAGGCAAAUCCGUCGGCGGAUCUUCGAGACAAAGCAUCGAGGUUCUACGGAACCGAAGUGAUCGGAAGUGCUUCCAGGAAAAGCCUCUAAGCUCCAGCUUGCAUGUGACCGUACCGUAAACCGACACUGGUGGGCGAGUUGAAUAUACUCAGGCGCUUGAGAGAACUCGGGAGAAGGAACUCGGCAAAUUGACACCGUAACUUCGGGAUAAGGUGUGCCUUUGUAGCGUGAAGAGAGAAACACUCGGAGCGUGAAGAGGCCUCAGAGAAUCGGUGGCUGCAACUGUUUAUUAAAAACACAGCACUCUGCAAAGACGAAAGUCGACGUAUAGGGUGUGAUGCCUGCCCGGUGCUGGAAGAUUAAGUGAUGGGGUGAGAGCUCCUGAUCGAAGUCCCAGUAAACGGCGGCCGUAACUAUAACGGUCCUAAGGUAGCGAAAUUCCUUGUC
Molecule: ribosomal RNA, 1047 nt
Filed under: human gut metagenome
Description: bacterial LSU rRNA
Rfam family: Bacterial large subunit ribosomal RNA
Source: RNAcentral